CCUACGGGAGGCAGCAGUCGAGAAUCUUCGGCAAUGGGCGCAAGCCUGACCGAGCGACGCCGCGUGGAGGACGAAGGCCUUCGGGUUGUAAACUCCUGUCGAGGGGGAAGAAGGGCCUUAAAACCUUGACUGAUCCCUGGAGGAAGCACGGGCUAAGUUCGUGCCAGCAGCCGCGGUAAU
Molecule: ribosomal RNA, 180 nt
Filed under: uncultured bacterium
Lineage: Bacteria
Description: partial 16S ribosomal RNA
Rfam family: Bacterial small subunit ribosomal RNA
Source: RNAcentral